This 497-nucleotide ribosomal RNA is filed under the name Salmonella enterica subsp. enterica serovar Enteritidis. RNAcentral describes it as "partial 23S ribosomal RNA". It matches the Rfam family "Bacterial large subunit ribosomal RNA", at positions 139 to 678 of the family's 2925-position model. The record is from RNAcentral. Lineage: Bacteria; Pseudomonadati; Pseudomonadota; Gammaproteobacteria; Enterobacterales; Enterobacteriaceae.
UUCGUCACACUAUCAUUAACUGAAUCCAUAGGUUAAUGAGGCGAACCGGGGGAACUGAAACAUCUAAGUACCCCGAGGAAAAGAAAUCAACCGAGAUUCCCCCAGUAGCGGCGAGCGAACGGGGAGGAGCCCAGAGCCUGAAUCAGCAUGUGUGUUAGUGGAAGCGUCUGGAAAGGCGCGCGAUACAGGGUGACAGCCCCGUACACAAAAGCGCAUGUGCUGUGAGCUCGAUGAGUAGGGCGGGACACGUGGUAUCCUGUCUGAAUAUGGGGGGACCAUCCUCCAAGGCUAAAUACUCCUGACUGACCGAUAGUGAACCAGUACCGUGAGGGAAAGGCGAAAAGAACCCCGGCGAGGGGAGUGAAAAAGAACCUGAAACCGUGUACGUACAAGCAGUGGGAGCACCCUUUGGGUGUGACUGCGUACCUUUUGUAUAAUGGGUCAGCGACUUAUAUUCUGUAGCAAGGUUAACCGAAUAGGGGAGCCGGAGGGAAACC